This is a transfer RNA of Metarhizium acridum CQMa 102, 74 nucleotides long. It matches the Rfam family "tRNA". Rfam says of the family: Transfer RNA (tRNA) molecules are approximately 80 nucleotides in length. Their secondary structure includes four short double-helical elements and three loops (D, anti-codon, and T loops). NCBI's taxonomy places the organism in Eukaryota, Fungi, Ascomycota, Sordariomycetes, Hypocreales, Clavicipitaceae. The record is from Rfam.
GGUCUCGUAGAUCAAUGGCUUAGAUCGCGGCUUUCCGGUGGCCGAGGUUCCAGGUUCGAGUCCUGGCGGGAUCG